GGCUCUUUGUGCAACCGUAAUAAAGAGUCGAACCUGCCCAAUGAAUUCAUAUGUUUUAAUGGCCGCGGUACUCUGACCGUGCAAAGGUAGCAUAAUCAUUUGUCUAUUAAUUAUAGACUGGUAUGAAUGGUUUGACGAAGGACAUUCUGUCUCUUAUAAGUUUAGUAGAAUUUAAUUUUUAAGUUAAAAAGCUUAAAUAUAAUUAGUAGACGAGAAGACCCUGGCGAGCUUUAGUUAUGUAUAGCUUUAAUUAAGCUAUAUUAGAGCUUUGGUUGGGGCGACUAAGGGACACAUAAAGCUCCCCUUUGUUUUAAAAAUAAUCAUUGAUCCGAUAAAUAUCGAUAAAAGGAAAAAGCUACCGCAGGGAUAACAGCAUAAUUCUUCUAGAGAGCUCCUAUCGAAAGCAGGGUUUGUGACCUCGAUGUUGGACUAGGAUAUCCUGGAGGGGUAGUAACUUCCAA
RNAcentral lists this ribosomal RNA (461 nucleotides) under Elachisinidae sp. TT-2014. RNAcentral describes it as "partial 16S rRNA". It matches the Rfam family "Bacterial large subunit ribosomal RNA", at positions 1816 to 2568 of the family's 2925-position model. The record is from RNAcentral. Lineage: Eukaryota; Metazoa; Mollusca; Gastropoda; Littorinimorpha; Elachisinidae.